UACGUAGGGGGCAAGCGUUGUCCGGAAUUAUUGGGCGUAAAGAGCGUGUAGGCGGCCCGGCAAGUCCGCCGUGAAAGCCCAGGGCUCAACCCUGGAAUGCCGGUGGAAACUGUCGGGCUUGAGUUCGGAAGAGGCGAGUGGAAUUCCUGGUGUAGCGGUGAAAUGCGCAGAUAUCAGGAGGAACACCAAUGGCGAAGGCAGCUCGCUGGGACGACACUGACGCUGAGACGCGAAAGCGUGGGGAGCAAACAGG
This 253-nucleotide ribosomal RNA is filed under the name uncultured bacterium. Its description in RNAcentral is "partial 16S ribosomal RNA". It matches the Rfam family "Bacterial small subunit ribosomal RNA", at positions 524 to 776 of the family's 1533-position model. The record is from RNAcentral.